CAUGGCUCAGGAUGAACGCUAGCGGCAUGCCUAACACAUGCAAGUCGAGGGAGAAGCCCUUUCGGGCGCAGAAACCGGCUCACGGGUGCGUAACGCGUAUGCAACCUACCUUUCACAGCGGGAUAGCCAGAAGAAAUUUGGAUUAAUACCCCAUAAUAUUGUUGGAUGGCAUCUUCUGGCAAUUAAAACUGCGGUGGUGAAAGAUGGGCAUGCGUCCUAUUAGCUAGUUGGAGUGGUAACGGCACCCCAAGGCUACGAUAGGUAGGGGUCCUGAGAGGGAGAUCCCCCACACUGGUACUGAGACAGGGACCAGACUCCUACGG
RNAcentral lists this ribosomal RNA (323 nucleotides) under uncultured bacterium. RNAcentral's name for it is "bacterial SSU rRNA". It matches the Rfam family "Bacterial small subunit ribosomal RNA", at positions 18 to 344 of the family's 1533-position model. The record is from RNAcentral.